Molecule: long non-coding RNA, 613 nt
Filed under: Marmota monax (woodchuck)
Lineage: Eukaryota; Metazoa; Chordata; Mammalia; Rodentia; Sciuridae
Source: RNAcentral
GUUAAUUUCUACAACUUGAUAAAAGGACAUUUAUGAAAAAUCAACAACUAAUGUUAGAUAUUUGUUGGAAAAAGACCAAAUGGUUCUCUUCUAAGAUCAGGAACAAAGCAAAGGCCACUUCUAUUCAACAUUGUACUGGGGAAUCUAUAGCAAGAAUAAGAAAAUUAACACAACAUUGACAGGAAAAAAUACAUAAUUUGUCAGGCACAAUGGUGCACAUCUAUAAUCCUAGCAACUCAGGAGGCUAAGAUAGAAGAAUCACAAGUUUCAGGCCAGCCUCAGCUACUUAGCAAGGCCCUAAACAACUAGCGAGACCCUGCCUCAAAAAAAUAAAUAGGGCUAGGGAUGUAGCUCUGUGGCACUCUGCCACUGAACUUUAACCCCAAUACUCCAAAGGAAAGAAACAAACACAUAAUUAUCUCUUGGGAUGUAGAAAAGACAUUUGUUCAUGAUUAAACCAGGACUAGAAGGAUACUUCUUCAACAUGAUAAAGAGCAUUUGUGAAAAAAUUACAGUUAACAUCAUAAUGGUAAAAGGCUGAAAGUUUCCCUCCUUAGAUCAGGAAGAAGACAAGGAUGCUCAUUUUUACCAUAUUGGAAAGGAAGAAUCAAAA